CCGGUGGAGAUGCUGUUAUCUU
This 22-nucleotide microRNA is filed under the name Xenopus laevis (African clawed frog). Its description in RNAcentral is "xla-mir-194-2-3p". The record is from RNAcentral. Lineage: Eukaryota; Metazoa; Chordata; Amphibia; Anura; Pipidae.